UACGGAGGGGGCUAGCGUUGUUCGGAAUUACUGGGCGUAAAGCGCGCGUAGGCGGCCAUUCAAGUUGGGGGUGAAAUCCCGGGGCUCAACCUCGGAAUUGCCUUCAAGACUGUUUGGCUUGAGUUCGGGAGAGGUGAGUGGAAUUCCCAGUGUAGAGGUGAAAUUCGUAGAGAUUGGGAAGAACACCAGUGGCGAAGGCGGCUCACUGGCCCGCAACUGACGCUGAGGCGCGAAAGCGUGGGGAGCAAACAGG
RNAcentral lists this ribosomal RNA (253 nucleotides) under uncultured bacterium. RNAcentral describes it as "partial 16S ribosomal RNA". It matches the Rfam family "Bacterial small subunit ribosomal RNA", at positions 524 to 776 of the family's 1533-position model. The record is from RNAcentral.